GUGUUCUCUUCAGCAGCACAUAACUAAAAUUGGAAUGAUACAGAGAAUAUUAGUAUGGCCCCUGUGCAAGGAUGACAUGCAAAUGUGAGGCAUUCCAUAUUUUU
Small nuclear RNA from Suncus etruscus (white-toothed pygmy shrew), 104 nucleotides. The record is from RefSeq and is a predicted model, not a curated record. NCBI's taxonomy places the organism in Eukaryota, Metazoa, Chordata, Mammalia, Eulipotyphla, Soricidae.